RNAcentral lists this ribosomal RNA (367 nucleotides) under uncultured eukaryote. RNAcentral describes it as "partial 18S ribosomal RNA". It matches the Rfam family "Eukaryotic small subunit ribosomal RNA", at positions 592 to 976 of the family's 1831-position model. The record is from RNAcentral.
CAAUAGCGUAUAUUAAAGUUGUUGCAGUUAAAAAGCUCGUAGUUGAAGAUACGAACGCUUACACUAGAACAAAGUUUCCGGUGUCUGCGUUCACUUUUCGCAAAGACAGCCUGGCCCAUUAGUUUGGGUCUUGUUUGAGUUGCGUCAUUUACUGUGAACAAAUUAGGGUGUUUAAAGCAGGCCUACGUUUGAAUACACUAGCAUGGAAUAAUAAGAUAUGAUCUUGGUCGUAUUUUGUUGGUGACUACCAAGAUAAUGAUUGAUAGAAACUGUUGUGGGUAUUCGUAUGAGCAUGUCAGAGGUGAAAUUCUUGGAUUUUGAUCAGACGAACUACUGCGAAAGCAUUUAUCAAGGAUGUUUUCAUUAA